RNAcentral lists this unclassified non-coding RNA (339 nucleotides) under soil metagenome. Its description in RNAcentral is "partial contains 5.8S ribosomal RNA, internal transcribed spacer 2, and large subunit ribosomal RNA". The stretch from base 1 to 120 matches the Rfam family "5.8S ribosomal RNA", at positions 35 to 154 of the family's 154-position model. The record is from RNAcentral.
GAUGAAGAACGUAGCGAAAUGCGAUAAGUAGUGUGAAUUGCAGAAUUCAGUGAAUCAUCGAAUCUUUGAACGCACAUUGCACCUCUCGGUAUUCCGGGAGGUAUGCCUGUUCGAGCGUCAUUUGUACCCUCAAGCUCUGCUUGGUGUUGGGUGUUUGUUCCGCCUCUGUGUGUGAACUCGCCUCAAAACAAUUGGCAGCCGGCGUACUUGUUUCGGAGCGCAGCACAUUUUGCGAUCCAGAUCAACGUACAGCGGCAUCCAAGAAGCCUUAUUUAACGCUCUUGACCUCGGAUCAGGUAGGGAUACCCGCUGAACUUAAGCAUAUCAAUAAGCGGAGGA